Molecule: long non-coding RNA, 832 nt
Organism: Oreochromis aureus
Lineage: Eukaryota; Metazoa; Chordata; Actinopteri; Cichliformes; Cichlidae
Source: Ensembl
UGCGUGGAGGCAAGCCAGGUGACAGAGCUGUUGCAGACGCUGAUUACUGUGAGCCAGAGCCAUAGUGUUGUUGUGCACUGAACAGAACGGAAUUGGCCAGGUGACCCUUUUUGGGUAUGAAAAAGGAUGGCGAGCCAAUGAACGGCUAGGAGCAGGACUCAUUCUGCAUUUUAGCUUCCACUGGACUGGUAGGAAGCUAUCAAAGACGACGCUCUGUCCCCAUUUCCCAAACACACUGAUUUCCACAAUCAUACACACCAUUCCCCCCGUUUAUGGACAAUAGCGCUUGGACAUCUCUCAUGGACAUUCAGAUGAAACUCAUGGACUUCAGUGUGGAUCAGUGGUUUGGAUGUUAACAUGUGUUACUUAUGGGGAACUGUUUUUUGUUUUUGAGAAUCUAUAUUGCUUGGUAUAAGCCAUAAGCCUGAAGAAUUUGCUUAGUUGUCUUUGCAUCCCCACUGGGUUUUUGAUUUAUUGAAUAGCUGCAGCAGGAAUGAUUAUUUAAGUUUUCCUUAUCUUUUCUUGUUAUUUUCGGUUAAAUACAUGGUACCUGCAAAAGCAUUUUGCGUUGUGUGUAUUUAUUAAUUACUGCCCAUCAGCUCCAGUAGCAUUCCUAAAUCUUCUGAUUAAUAAUAACCAUAACAUUUCACUUAAUACCUAGUCUGUAUUAAUUCAUUAGCGCUUCAUCAGUGUUACAUUUCUUGGCGAGCCAGCCAGGAGCUGAUUUGGUUAGUAAUUAAUAUAUAUUCAAACUCACCAAUUCAUUUUCCCCAUAAUGGAAGUUUUUGAGACGCUUGCCAUUAAGAUCCCAAACGCGGUUUUAAUUGACGGA